UGGGGAAUAUUGGACAAUGGGGGCAACCCUGAUCCAGCCAUGCCGCGUGAGUGAUGAAGGCCUUAGGGUUGUAAAGCUCUUUCGGCGGGGAAGAUGAUGACGGUACCCGCAGAAGAAGCCUCGGCUAACUCCGUGCCAGCAGCCGCGGUAAGACGGAGGAGGCUAGCGUUGUUCGGAAUUACUGGGCGUAAAGCGCACGCAGGUGGCGAUACAAGUCGGGUGUGAAAGCCCGGGGCUCAACCCCGGAUGUGCAUUCGAUACUGUAUUGCUUGAGCCCGGAAGAGGAGAGUGGAAUUCCCAGUGUAGAGGUGAAAUUCGUAGAUAUUGGGAAGAACACCAGUGGCGAAGGCGACUCUCUGGUCCGGUGCUGACACUCAGGUGCGAAAGCGUGGGGAGCAAA
Molecule: ribosomal RNA, 400 nt
Filed under: uncultured bacterium
Lineage: Bacteria
Description: bacterial SSU rRNA
Rfam family: Bacterial small subunit ribosomal RNA
Source: RNAcentral